Molecule: ribosomal RNA, 446 nt
Filed under: uncultured bacterium
Lineage: Bacteria
Description: partial 16S ribosomal RNA
Rfam family: Bacterial small subunit ribosomal RNA
Source: RNAcentral
CCUACGGGUGGCAGCAGUCGAGAAUCAUUCACAAUGGGGGAAACCCUGAUGGUGCGACGCCGCGUGGGGGAAUGAAGCUCUUCGGAUUGUAAACCCCUGUCAUGUGGGAGCAAAUGAAAAAGAUAGUACCACAAGAGGAAGUGACGGCUAACUCUGUGCCAGCAGCCGCGGUAAUACAGAGGUCUCAAGCGUUGUUCGGAAUCACUGGGCGUAAAGGGUGCGUAGGCGGUGUCGUAAGUCGUGUGUGAAAGGGGCGGGCUCAACCCGCGGCCGGCACAUGAUACUGCGAGACUAGAGUAAUGGAGGGGGAACCGGAAUUCGCGGUGUAGCAGUGAAAUGCGUAGAUAUCGAGAAGAACACUCGUGGCGAAGGCGGGUUCCUGGACAUUAACUGACGCUGAGGCACGAAGGCCAGGGGAGCGAAAGGGAUUAGAUACCCUUGUAGUC